UAAUUUACUCACUCCAUCAUCUGCUGACAAGUAACCAAUGUCACUUCCUGUUUGGGCCAGCCAUAGCCUCAUAUUGAUCCGCCCAAAAGAAUUCCAGUACUGUUGUAAACCCUAACCAGUAACUAUAAAAUGUUGUGACCUGCAUUAUUAAUUACUUUUGAAUACAAUCAUGAUUCCUAUCCAAUCCAAUCAUAAAUUUUCAAUUUCAUAAAGGAAAAGAUGGAAUUAUAACAGAGAGACAAUCAAUCUACAUGUAAGAAAUUAGGAGCACCAUAACACAACAAAAUCAGAAUAAUUUUCCAUUAAUCUUGACAUGAAUCUCAUCUAAACUAACCCACAAAUUUAAAGGAUAACUCAAUAAAAAUAGAAUGUCAAAUGCUAAAGUAUCUUAACAUUCAAACUAAUUGUCACAGAGGAUACAGGUUCUUCACUAAAUAUUGGACCAUUACUAGAGAUAUCGAGUUAUCAUUAACCAACAUAAUUUGCAAUUAACUAGUACAAACUGACUCUCCAGCUAGAUACACACUAGUAAGAACUUAUUUUGACAACAUACUUCAUUAUCAUCUCGAAUAACAUCACAAAAAGAUCAAAAAACAAGUAAGAUUAGCACAUUUAUGGGCAUCCAAAUCAUUUCCUGCCCACAACAGGUAAUAAUCCAUCUAAAUUCUUACACAUAUAGAUUAGGGUUAAUCGGCCACAAAUACGAAGAUCCAGCAGCUUAAAAAAGGGGCAAUUGAACUGGCAGCAAUAAUUCAAGGGUUUCCCAUCAAAAUCAAGAUUUCGAACCAUUUCUUCAAUAAAUGAUCUAAUUACCAAUUGAUUCAUUAAUUCAGAAAGGAAGAGUUGAUAUCCACAUACCCUUUUGAGUGAAGUCUUGUUGGAGAGCAGGGAUGGAGCUCGAGUGAAGAAAUGGAAGGGAAAGAGGAAAAAUCGAAUCUUUAUAUUAGUAUGGAGGGAAGCGGUGAAGGCGGCGGGGAUUCAUAGCGGCUGCUCAUCGGAGUCGAGAGGGAGACGGUGAUAGAGGCUUGAGAGAUGAGGGAGGAUGACGGCGGUCCGGCUGACCGUUGCUGUCGACUGAAGAAGAAGAUGGUGGUUCAGGCGGUAAUCUCGUCGGAAAUUGAAAGGGGAGAAAGCUAGGGAUUUUUGGGGAUUUUUCAUGAUUUAGAGAGGGAACGAGAGGCAGGCAGAUGCGAGGCCUACAGAGGGGAUACCGUGGCAGUGGUGGCUGGCGGCGACAGUAGCCGCCGGGUUUGAAGGGAGUAAGGCAGUGGCAGAGAGAAGAAGAAGAUAGGAGUACCGCGAGAGAGAGAGAGAGUGGUGGGUGAGACUUCAAACUUAGGAGAAGAAGGUGAAUUAUGUAAUUAGGGUUUUUAUUUUUUAUAAUAUUAUUAAAGUUAAAAUUAAAAAUAAAUAUAAAAAGUAAUCAUAACAGUAUUUUAGCGCUCAUACAUAACGGUUAAAACAACCAUUAUAAAAAUACGCUCAUAGAUAACGGUUAUCUUAACGGUUCGAUAACACCGUUAUGUAUGCACCUAAUAGAUAACGCUUAUUCAUAACGAAUUACUUCGUACCGUUAUC
This 1578-nucleotide long non-coding RNA is filed under the name Salvia miltiorrhiza (redroot sage). RNAcentral's name for it is "long non-coding RNA (SMIL_LNC005097)". The record is from RNAcentral. Lineage: Eukaryota; Viridiplantae; Streptophyta; Magnoliopsida; Lamiales; Lamiaceae.